This is a long non-coding RNA of Oncorhynchus tshawytscha (Chinook salmon), 768 nucleotides long. The record is from Ensembl. Lineage: Eukaryota; Metazoa; Chordata; Actinopteri; Salmoniformes; Salmonidae.
CCCAAAACUAAUUUCACACAUAUAACAGCCUCAAUAAAUUAAGUAAAGUAUGAUAGGGGAGAAUGGGUGAGUUGAUGUGUCACGAAUCCCGCUUCCUGAGUCUGUGUUUGCCUGUGUUUCUGUCCUGGAGUGUGUUUCCGGUGUCCUGGAACGCACCCUGUCUGGUUGCCGGGCGAAUUAGCUUGUUGGGAGAUCGAUGUUCACCCGCACCUGUAUCCCAUCAGUAAUCUGCACACCUGUCCUGAUCAUCACCUCUCCCCUUCAAAAGCUCUGACCUGACAUCCAUUCCCUGCCGGAUCGUUAGCCAUGAACAUUACUCACCCGGAUCAUUUACCCCAUUCCCGCCUGGUCGUCGGAGGAUUCCGCUACCCCAUUGGAUCCACCUAUUUACUCCCAUCAACUCACCACCGCUGCCCGCUACGCCACCUGGAUAUAUCUACCCAUUCACAUUCACUUGUUGGGGUGGAUGUUUUGAAUCCGAUGGCACGGGCUGUACUCUUUGAAAGGAGGCACCCGUCGCUGGCCUGUUGCUAUGUUCUGCAAAAUGCUUGACUUGGCUGCUAUCAACGCACACGUGUUGUUCAUCAGUGCAUGAACAACACCAUGCCCAGGAGAGACUUCAUCAUGAGUCUGGCAUACGGGCUACCUGAGAGACAAACGAGGGCCAAGGCAGCAGCAAAGAUUCCACGCAAGCCUUUGCGCGAGCCAAAUUGCGCACAGCUCCCGGGGAGGAGACAGUGUCAGGUGGACAGAUGAACAAAGAACAGA